AAUUAGAAAGCGAAAAGUUGCAUUUAGUUUCGGCCUAAAUUUUGGUUAUACAAACCUCUAAUUU
RNAcentral lists this transfer RNA (64 nucleotides) under Cherax holthuisi. RNAcentral describes it as "tRNA-Arg". The record is from RNAcentral. Lineage: Eukaryota; Metazoa; Arthropoda; Malacostraca; Decapoda; Parastacidae.